This 72-nucleotide transfer RNA is filed under the name Stegodyphus mimosarum. It matches the Rfam family "tRNA". Rfam says of the family: Transfer RNA (tRNA) molecules are approximately 80 nucleotides in length. Their secondary structure includes four short double-helical elements and three loops (D, anti-codon, and T loops). The record is from Rfam by way of RNAcentral. Lineage: Eukaryota; Metazoa; Arthropoda; Arachnida; Araneae; Eresidae.
GCCUUUGUGGUGUAGUGGUUAGCACACUCGACUGGCAUUCGACAGGUCCGUGGUUCCAGUCCCGGAGAGGCC